GACGAACGCUGGCGGCGUGCUUAACACAUGCAAGUCGAACGGUAAGGCCCUUCGGGGUACACGAGUGGCGAACGGGUGAGUAACACGUGGGUGAUCUGCCCUGCACUUCGGGAUAAGCCUGGGAAACUGGGUCUAAUACCGGAUAGGACCACUGCCUGCAUGGGUGGUGGUGGAAAGCUUUUGCGGUGUGGGAUGGGCCCGCGGCCUAUCAGCUUGUUGGUGGGGUGAUGGCCUACCAAGGCGACGACGGGUAGCCGGCCUGAGAGGGUGACCGGCCACACUGGGGCUGGGAUACGGCCCAGCCUCCUACGGGAGGCAGCAGUGGGGAAUAUUGCACCAUGGGCGCAAGCCUGAUGCAGCGACGCCGCGUGAGGGAUGACGGCCUUCGGGUUGUAAACCUCUUUCAGCACCGACGAAGCGCAAGUGACGGUAGGUGCAGAAGAAGGACCGGCCAACUACGUGCCAGCCGCCGCAGUAA
RNAcentral lists this ribosomal RNA (478 nucleotides) under uncultured bacterium. RNAcentral's name for it is "partial 16S ribosomal RNA". It matches the Rfam family "Bacterial small subunit ribosomal RNA", at positions 28 to 523 of the family's 1533-position model. The record is from RNAcentral.